This 497-nucleotide ribosomal RNA is filed under the name uncultured bacterium. RNAcentral describes it as "partial 16S ribosomal RNA". It matches the Rfam family "Bacterial small subunit ribosomal RNA", at positions 28 to 507 of the family's 1533-position model. The record is from RNAcentral.
GAUGAACGCUGGCGGCGUGCCUAAUACAUGCAAGUCGAGCGAACAGACGAGGAGCUUGCUCCUCUGACGUUAGCGGCGGACGGGUGAGUAACACGUGGAUAACCUACCUAUAAGACUGGGAUAACUUCGGGAAACCGGAGCUAAUACCGGAUAACAUGUUGAACCGCAUGGUUCAACAGUGAAAGACGGUCUUGCUGUCACUUAUAGAUGGAUCCGCGCCGCAUUAGCUAGUUGGUAAGGUAACGGCUUACCAAGGCAACGAUGCGUAGCCGACCUGAGAGGGUGAUCGGCCACACUGGAACUGAGACACGGUCCAGACUCCUACGGGAGGCAGCAGUAGGGAAUCUUCCGCGAUGGGCGAAAGCCUGACGGAGCAACGCCGCGUGAGUGAAGAAGGUCUUCGGAUCGUAAAACUCUGUUAUUAGGGAAGAACAAAUGUGUAAGUAACUAUGCACGUCUUGACGGUACCUAAUCAGAAAGCCACGGCUAACUACGUG